This 486-nucleotide ribosomal RNA is filed under the name uncultured bacterium. Its description in RNAcentral is "partial 16S ribosomal RNA". It matches the Rfam family "Bacterial small subunit ribosomal RNA", at positions 30 to 507 of the family's 1533-position model. The record is from RNAcentral.
AUUGAACGCUGGCGGCAUGCCUUACACAUGCAAGUCGAACGGCAGCACGGGUGCUUGCCCCUGGUGGCGAGUGGCGAACGGGUGAGUAAUACAUCGGAACAUGUCCUGUAGUGGGGGAUAGCCCGGCGAAAGCCGGAUUAAUACCGCAUACGAUCUACGGAUGAAAGCGGGGGACCUUCGGGCCCCGCGCUAUAGGGUUGGCCGAUGGCUGAUUAGCUAGUUGGUGGGGUAAAGGCCUACCAAGGCGACGAUCAGUAGCUGGUCUGAGAGGACGACCAGCCACACUGGGACUGAGACACGGCCCAGACUCCUACGGGAGGCAGCAGUGGGGAAUUUUGGACAAUGGGCGAAAGCCUGAUCCAGCAAUGCCGCGUGUGUGAAGAAGGCCUUCGGGUUGUAAAGCACUUUUGUCCGGAAAGAAAUCCUUGGCCCUAAUACGGUCGGGGGAUGACGGUACCGGAAGAAUAAGCACCGGCUAACUACGUG